UACGUAGGGUGCGAGCGUUAAUCGGAAUUACUGGGCGUAAAGCGUGCGUAGACGGUUGCGUAAGUCAGAUGUGAAAGCCCCGGGCUCAACCUGGGAAUUGCAUUUGAGACUGCGUAGCUAGGGUGCGGAAGAGGGAAGCGGAAUUUCCGGUGUAGCGGUGAAAUGCGUAGAUAUCUGGAGGAACACCGGUGGCGAAGGCGGCAUCCUGGACCAAUAUUGACGCUGAGGAGCGAAAGCCAGGGGAGCAAACGGG
RNAcentral lists this ribosomal RNA (253 nucleotides) under uncultured bacterium. Its description in RNAcentral is "partial 16S ribosomal RNA". It matches the Rfam family "Bacterial small subunit ribosomal RNA", at positions 524 to 776 of the family's 1533-position model. The record is from RNAcentral.